CCUACGGGUGGCAGCAGUGGGGAAUAUUGGGCAAUGGGCGCAAGCCUGACCCAGCAACGCCGCGUGAAGGAAGAAGGCUUUAGGGUUGUAAACUUCUUUUCUCAGGGACGAAGCAAGUGACGGUACCUGAGGAAUAAGCCACGGCUAACUACGUGCCAGCAGCCGCGGUAAUACGUAGGUGGCAAGCGUUAUCCGGAUUUACGGGGUGUAAAGGGCGUGUAGGCGGGAAGUCAAGUCAGAUGUGAAAACCAGGGGCUCAACCUUUUGCUUGCAUUUGAAACUGGUUGUCUUGAGUACUGGAGAGGCAGACGGAAUUCCUAGUGUAGCGGUGAAAUGCGUAGAUAUUAGGAGGAACACCAGUGGCGAAGGCGGUCUGCUGGACAGCAACUGACGCUGAGGCGCGAAAGCGUGGGUAGCAAACAGGAUUAGAUACCCUUGUAGUC
RNAcentral lists this ribosomal RNA (443 nucleotides) under uncultured bacterium. RNAcentral's name for it is "partial 16S ribosomal RNA". It matches the Rfam family "Bacterial small subunit ribosomal RNA", at positions 338 to 795 of the family's 1533-position model. The record is from RNAcentral.